Homo sapiens (human) is the source of this 270-nucleotide long non-coding RNA. RefSeq lists it as uncharacterized. Lineage: Eukaryota; Metazoa; Chordata; Mammalia; Primates; Hominidae. The transcript has 2 exons. The record is from RefSeq and is a predicted model, not a curated record.
GAUAUGGUCAGGAUUGUGGCAUAUGAAAAUUCUUCAUAAAAUAACUAUCUAAUCCAAUUAAUGCUGGAAUUGGGAACAGCAGAAGUGUCAUCUCAGAGCUACUCACAAUGAAAGGUGAUGUCUGGGGCUCAGGUGUGUUGAGGUCCCCAUGCCUGGACUAUGGGUGAUGAGUGGGAUUUACUUGUCCAUCCAUUUUCUAUAUUCCAGCACUGGGAAACUAGGGACAGUACUUGUUCUCAAGGGAAUCUUCAGCUUAGGUGGCUCUGUAAA